Molecule: ribosomal RNA, 406 nt
Filed under: uncultured bacterium
Lineage: Bacteria
Description: partial 16S ribosomal RNA
Rfam family: Bacterial small subunit ribosomal RNA
Source: RNAcentral
AUUGAACGAUGGCGGCAGGCCUAACACAUGCAAGUCGAACGAGUGGCGGACGGGUGAGUAAUGUCUGGGAAACUGCCUGAUAGAGGGGGAUAACUAAUGGAAACGGUAGCAAAUACCGCAUACCAUCAGAUGUGCCCAGAUGGGAUUAGCUAGUUGGUGGGGUAACGGCUCACCAAGGCGACGAUCCCUAGCUGGUCUGAGAGGAUGACCAUCCACACUGGAACGAGGACACGGUCCAGACUCCUACUGGAGGCAGCAGUGGGGAAUAUUGCACAAUGGGCGCAAGCCUGAUGCAGCCACGCCGCGUGUAUGAAGAAGGCCUUCGGGUUGUAAAGUACUUUCAGCGGGGAGGCGUUACCCGCAGAAGAAGCACCGGCUAACUCCGUGCCAGCAGCCGCGGUAAUAC